Molecule: long non-coding RNA, 663 nt
Filed under: Ursus maritimus (polar bear)
Lineage: Eukaryota; Metazoa; Chordata; Mammalia; Carnivora; Ursidae
Description: lncRNA (ENSUMAG00000016323.1)
Source: RNAcentral
UGGGCGUCAGUGUAAAUGAGAGGAGAAACGAGGAGCUCUUCAGGCCCUUGGGGAGAAUUAUUUUUUAAAUGUUCAUGCACUGGACAUUUUUUUUUUUUCUUGUAAAGCAAUUGAAAUCAAAAGGCGGAGUCUUCUUGAGAGACUGGAAUUACAUUGCCUGAAUUAACUGUGUCUCAUCUCUUGCUCUUCUGGCUUGCGUUUCAACAGCUGCUGCAUAGGCUUGGAGAGGAACUCCACCACUUCCUUUUCUUAGCAACCCUGAUCAGCUGGUGGUCAUAGCUGUGUGAGGAUGUGACAGCGAGGAGGAAGGAGGGGAGCUCACUAGAGCAGGCUGGAUUACAGGCCUGGGACGGCUUUGGGGUUCGCUGUGGUCCCGGGAGCUGUGCCAGCCACGCUGGAGCUCAGAGUGAACCGGAGCCACGUGGAAGCUAGUUUGAAAGGGUGCACCAAGGUGCCGUCUACACCACAGGCCGCCCCACAAGAGGGAGAAUCGCUGCUCCCUGCAUGCGUUUCUGCUGCCAGGGCUGGGAGGGGAAGUACGACGUGUCCUGACCCACGGAAUGGAGCAUGGAGAAGGGACAUUUUCCAACUCAGUGGCGUCCGACUGUGGAAACAUUUGUGACGCAGGCGGGGCUUCAAGGGUUCCGUGAGACGAAGGCGGCU